AAAGUACUCCCUCCGUCCCAAAAUUCAUGUCUUAGAUUUGUCUAGAUACGGAUGUAUCAAGUCACAUUUUAGUAUUAGAUACAUCCGUAUCUAGACAAAUCUAAGACAAGAAAUUUGGGACAGAGGGAGUAGUUG
Non-coding RNA from Triticum aestivum (bread wheat), 135 nucleotides. The record is from Rfam. NCBI's taxonomy places the organism in Eukaryota, Viridiplantae, Streptophyta, Magnoliopsida, Poales, Poaceae.